Molecule: ribosomal RNA, 1492 nt
Filed under: Klebsiella pneumoniae
Lineage: Bacteria; Pseudomonadati; Pseudomonadota; Gammaproteobacteria; Enterobacterales; Enterobacteriaceae
Description: partial 23S ribosomal RNA
Rfam family: Bacterial large subunit ribosomal RNA
Source: RNAcentral
CUAACUGGAGGACCGAACCGACUAAUGUUGAAAAAUUAGCGGAUGACUUGUGGCUGGGGGUGAAAGGCCAAUCAAACCGGGAGAUAGCUGGUUCUCCCCGAAAGCUAUUUAGGUAGCGCCUCGUGAAUUCAUCUUCGGGGGUAGAGCACUGUUUCGGCUAGGGGGUCAUCCCGACUUACCAACCCGAUGCAAACUACGAAUACCGAAGAAUGUUAUCACGGGAGACACACGGCGGGUGCUAACGUCCGUCGUGAAGAGGGAAACAACCCAGACCGCCAGCUAAGGUCCCAAAGUCAUGGUUAAGUGGGAAACGAUGUGGGAAGGCACAGACAGCCAGGAUGUUGGCUUAGAAGCAGCCAUCAUUUAAAGAAAGCGUAAUAGCUCACUGGUCGAGUCGGCCUGCGCGGAAGAUGUAACGGGGCUAAACCAUGCACCGAAGCUGCGGCAGCGACACUAUGUGUUGUUGGGUAGGGGAGCGUUCUGUAAGCCUGCGAAGGUGACCUGUGAGGGUUGCUGGAGGUAUCAGAAGUGCGAAUGCUGACAUAAGUAACGAUAAAGCGGGUGAAAAGCCCGCUCGCCGGAAGACCAAGGGUUCCUGUCCAACGUUAAUCGGGGCAGGGUGAGUCGACCCCUAAGGCGAGGCCGAAAGGCGUAGUCGAUGGGAAACAGGUUAAUAUUCCUGUACUUGGUGUUACUGCGAAGGGGGGACGGAGAAGGCUAUGUUAGCCGGGCGACGGUUGUCCCGGUUUAAGCAUGUAGGCUGGUUAUCCAGGCAAAUCCGGAUAAUCAAGGCUGAGGUGUGAUGACGAGGCACUACGGUGCUGAAGUAACAAAUGCCCUGCUUCCAGGAAAAGCCUCUAAGCAUCAGGUAACAUCAAAUCGUACCCCAAACCGACACAGGUGGUCAGGUAGAGAAUACCAAGGCGCUUGAGAGAACUCGGGUGAAGGAACUAGGCAAAAUGGUGCCGUAACUUCGGGAGAAGGCACGCUGGUGUGUAGGUGAAGCCCCUGCGGGUGGAGCUGAGACCAGUCGAAGAUACCAGCUGGCUGCAACUGUUUAUUAAAAACACAGCACUGUGCAAACACGAAAGUGGACGUAUACGGUGUGACGCCUGCCCGGUGCCGGAAGGUUAAUUGAUGGGGUUAUCCGUAAGGAGAAGCUCUUGAUCGAAGCCCCGGUAAACGGCGGCCGUAACUAUAACGGUCCUAAGGUAGCGAAAUUCCUUGUCGGGUAAGUUCCGACCUGCACGAAUGGCGUAAUGAUGGCCAGGCUGUCUCCACCCGAGACUCAGUGAAAUUGAACUCGCUGUGAAGAUGCAGUGUACCCGCGGCAAGACGGAAAGACCCCGUGAACCUUUACUAUAGCUUGACACUGAACAUUGAGCCUUGAUGUGUAGGAUAGGUGGGAGGCUUUGAAGCGUGGACGCCAGUCUGCGUGGAGCCAACCUUGAAAUACCACCCUUUAAUGUUUGAUGUUCUAACGUUGGCCCCU